GUGGGGAAUUUUGGACAAUGGGCGCAAGCCUGAUCCAGCAAUGCCGCGUGCAGGAAGAAGGCCUUCGGGUUGUAAACUGCUUUUGUACGGAACGAAACGGUCCUGGUUAAUACCCGGGGCUAAUGACGGUACCGUAAGAAUAAGCACCGGCUAACUACGUGCCAGCAGCCGCGGUAAUACGUAGGGUGCAAGCGUUAAUCGGAAUUACUGGGCGUAAAGCGUGCGCAGGCGGUGCUGUAAGACAGGCGUGAAAUCCCCGGGCUUAACCUGGGAAUUGCGCUUGUGACUGCAGUGCUGGAGUGCGGCAGAGGGGGAUGGAAUUCCGCGUGUAGCAGUGAAAUGCGUAGAUAUGCGGAGGAACACCGAUGGCGAAGGCAAUCCCCUGGACCUGUACUGACGCUCAUGCACGAAAGCGUGGGGAGCAAACAGGAUUAGAAACCCGUGUAGUCC
This 450-nucleotide ribosomal RNA is filed under the name uncultured bacterium. RNAcentral describes it as "partial 16S ribosomal RNA". It matches the Rfam family "Bacterial small subunit ribosomal RNA", at positions 354 to 796 of the family's 1533-position model. The record is from RNAcentral.